AACGAACGCUGGCGGCAGGCCUAACACAUGCAAGUCGAGCGGACCUUUCGGGGUCAGCGGCGGACGGGUGAGUAACGCGUGGGAAUAUGCCCUUCUCUACGGAAUAGUCCUGGGAAACUGGGGGUAAUACCGUAUACGCUCUUUGGGGGAAAGAUUUCUCGGGGCAGGAUUAGCCCGCGUUGGAUUAGGUAGUUGGUGGGGUAAUGGCCUGCCAAGCCGUCGUUCCAUAGCUGGUUUGUGAGGAGGAUUAGCCACGCUGGAACUGAGACACGGCCCAGACUCCUACGGGAGGCAGCAGUGGGGAGUCUUAGGCAAUGAGGGCAACCCUGAUAUAGCCAUGCCGCGUGAGUGAUGAAGGCCUUAGGGUUGUAAAGCUCUUUCAGCUGGGAAGUUAAUGACGGUACCAGCAGAAGAAGCCCCGGCUAACUCCGUG
RNAcentral lists this ribosomal RNA (433 nucleotides) under uncultured bacterium. RNAcentral describes it as "partial 16S ribosomal RNA". It matches the Rfam family "Bacterial small subunit ribosomal RNA", at positions 29 to 507 of the family's 1533-position model. The record is from RNAcentral.